This 407-nucleotide ribosomal RNA is filed under the name uncultured bacterium. RNAcentral describes it as "partial 16S ribosomal RNA". It matches the Rfam family "Bacterial small subunit ribosomal RNA", at positions 30 to 526 of the family's 1533-position model. The record is from RNAcentral.
AUUGAACGCUGGCGGCAGGCCUAACACAUGCAAGUCGAGCGGAGCGGCGGACGGGUGCGUAAUGCCUAGGAAUCUGCCUGGUAGUGGGGGAUAACGUCCGGAAACGGGCGCUAAUACCGCAUACUAUCAGAUGAGCCUAGGUCGGCUUAGCUAGUUGGUGGGGUAAAGGCCUACCAAGGCGACGAUCCCUAACUGGUCUGAGAGGAUGAUCAGUCACACUGGGACUGAGAAACGGUCCAGACUCCUACGGGAGGCAGCAGUGGGGAAUAUUGGACAAUGGGCGAAAGCCUGAUCCAGCCAUGCCGCGUGUAUGAAGAAGGUCUUCGGAUUGUAAAGUACUUUCAGUUGGGAGGCGUUACCAACAGAAUAAGCACCGGCUAACUUCGUGCCAGCAGCCGCGGUAAUUC